Molecule: ribosomal RNA, 253 nt
Filed under: uncultured bacterium
Lineage: Bacteria
Description: partial 16S ribosomal RNA
Rfam family: Bacterial small subunit ribosomal RNA
Source: RNAcentral
UACGGAGGGUGCGAGCGUUGUCCGGAUUUAUUGGGUUUAAAGGGUGCGUAGGUGGCUUUUUAAGUCAGUGGUGAAAUACAGCCGCUCAACGGUUGAGGUGCCAUUGAUACUGAAGAGCUUGAAACAAGUGGAGGCUGCCGGAAUGGAUGGUGUAGCGGUGAAAUGCAUAGAUAUCAUCCAGAACACCGAUUGCGAAGGCAGGUGGCUACGAUUUAUUUGACACUGAGGCACGAAAGCAUGGGGAGCAAACAGG